CUGGGCGCAGGUGCAGGGCUGAGCGCACCACCAGCCACAGCCGAAGCCGAAGCCUGGGUGGCCUCAGGCAGCCUGGUGAGCUGCACCCCACUGGCAGCUCCCGCAGACCAUGCAGGCUGCACCCCAGAGUGCCGGUCUCUGCAGAGCACGCUUUGCCUUGUUUUUUUGGGGUUUUUGAGACAAGGUCUCACCAUGUAGUGCAGGCCUAUCUCACUAUGUAACUGCUAUGGAGUGCGUUCAAGGGCAGCUUCGACGACGUAGCAAGACCCUGUCUCCAAAAACCUGAACGCAAACAACAAAAAGGCAAGAGCGCUAUCUAUGAGUGCAUGAGGGCUCUUGGGGGCCAUCUAGAUAUGAACCCAAGUAGACAGGGAGCAUGGAAUGGCCAGGGUAUUUCGCAUCAUAGUAUUUUUUUUUGGUACUGGGAUCAAACUUGGGACCUUGUGCUUGUGAGGCAUGCAGCAGAACCACUGAGCUACAUCCCCGGCCUCAGCAUCAGAGUAUUAACUGCCCUCUUUGUACUGCAGACUGAAUGCUACAUCCCUAGUCCUCUUUUUUUAUUUUGAGACAGUGUCUCGCUAAGUCACUAAAUUCCUCAAGCUGGGCUUGAACUUUUCUGGGGAGGGUGGAGUCUUUAAGAGUGCCUCGUUUUGUAGUUCAGGCUGGCCUCAAACUCAAGGCAAUCUUCCUGCCUCAGCCUCCAAAGUGCUGGGAUUACCAACAUGUCUUCCAAGUUUCCUUCUGGCUCAACAGCUCAUUUCUUUGUAGAUGAAUAAUCCAUUGUCUGGAUGUGCACAGCUUAUUUACCCACUCCCUACUGAAGGACAUUUUGGUCGCCUCCAUGUUUUGGCAAUUUUGAUUUUUUAAAAUUCAAGAUGGUGGUCUCACCAUGUUGCCUAGGAUGGUCUUGAAUUUAUGAGCUCAAGUGAUCCUCCUGCCUCAGCCUCCAGACAUUUUUACAACGAUGAAUAAUACUGCUGUAAACACUCAUGUGCAGGUUUUUGUCUAGACAUCAGUUUUCAACUCAUGUAGGUAAAUAACCAAGCAGCACAUUCUCUGGACCAUAGGGCUGAACUCAAACUCCAAGAUCCUCCUGCUUCAGCCUCCAGUGCUGUGAUUACAGGCAUGCGUUACCACGCCCACUUUGACGCCAGGACUUUCUGAGAGAGGGAGGCUGAGAAGCCCCACGUCCCCAGUGGAGAAGUGGGAGACUGGGAAGGAGGUGGACAGAGGCUGCAGAUCCGAGGAGGGAUCCCCUGUGAAGAUGCCGUUUUGAGCUCCUUCCUUCAAAAACCAGUUGGAGGGAAUUUAGCUCAGUGGUUUCGCUGAGUUCGAUCCCCAGUACCAAAAAAAAAGCCAGUUGGAGUGUUGCUGUUACUGUAACGGAGUCAUGGCUGUGAGGCUUUGAGUGGGAAGGCCCAGGCCAGGAAGAGCUGGGACAUUCAAGUUCUGGGAGGAGCCCAUGAAUCCUCUGGUCACAGAUGAGACAGGAACAGCUUCCAGAUGAGAGGAAAUAAAUUCUGAGCUACAUAGUGAG
Molecule: long non-coding RNA, 1537 nt
Organism: Heterocephalus glaber (naked mole-rat)
Lineage: Eukaryota; Metazoa; Chordata; Mammalia; Rodentia; Bathyergidae
Source: Ensembl